Molecule: ribosomal RNA, 696 nt
Filed under: uncultured bacterium
Lineage: Bacteria
Description: bacterial SSU rRNA
Rfam family: Bacterial small subunit ribosomal RNA
Source: RNAcentral
GGGGAUAACGUUUGGAAACGAACGCUAAUACCGCAUGAUAUUAUUGAGCUGCAUGGCUUGAUAAUCAAAGGAGCAAUCCGCUGAAAGAUGGGCUCGCGUCCGAUUAGGUAGUUGGCGGGGCAACGGCCCACCAAGCCGACGAUCGGUAGCCGGACUGAGAGGUUGAACGGCCACAUUGGGACUGAGACACGGCCCAGACUCCUACGGGAGGCAGCAGUGAGGGAUAUUGGUCAAUGGGGGAAACCCUGAACCAGCAACGCCGCGUGAGGGAAGACGGUUUUCGGAUUGUAAACCUCUGUCCUCUGUGAAGAUGAUGACGGUAGCAGAGGAGGAAGCUCCGGCUAACUACGUGCCAGCAGCCGCGGUAAUACGUAGGGAGCAAGCGUUGUCCGGAUUUACUGGGUGUAAAGGGUGCGUAGGCGGCUUUGCAAGUCAGAAGUGAAAUCCAUGGGCUUAACCCAUGAACUGCUUUUGAAACUGCAGAGCUUGAGUGGAGUAGAGGUAGGCGGAAUUCCCGGUGUAGCGGUGAAACGCGUAGAGAUCGGGAGGAACACCAGUGGCGAAGGCGGCCUGCUGGGCUCUAACUGACGCUGAGGCACGAAGGCGUGGGUAGCAAACAGGAUUAGAUACCCUGGUAGUCCACGCUGUAAACGAUGAUUACUAGGUGUGGGUGGACUGACCCCAUCCGUGCCGGAG